RNAcentral lists this long non-coding RNA (436 nucleotides) under Homo sapiens (human). Its description in RNAcentral is "non-protein coding lnc-ETAA1-9:1". The record is from RNAcentral. Lineage: Eukaryota; Metazoa; Chordata; Mammalia; Primates; Hominidae.
AUAUCCUAAUUGCUCAAAAAUGUUAUUUUAAACUUUAAUAUGUUUUAAAUGCUGUAAUUUCCUUUCUAAACAAUCAAAAGCCAUUUUCAGCUUGGGCCAGAAUAUUCUGCAUAAAUAACCAUUCACCAAAAAACUAUUUGCAUCUAGGACAUUCCUAGCAUUCCUAGGCCUGCACUUGGCUAGGGUAACCUAAAUACUAUUAAGAAUUGUAAAAGUUUUGAGAUUUUACUUUUACUGCAAGAUAAAGAAAUUUGUAAUCGUCUCAGACACAGUUUAGGAGUGUUUUAUGUUAAAAUUAUGGUGGCAGAGUGAAUGAUCUGGAUCCUGCUGCUUGAAGAAGAGUCAAGGACAAGCUUUAAAAUCAGGCCAUCUUUCUGGGAUUCAUAAAAGCAAGAACACAUAAAUGAGGACUAAAUUCCAUUAUGGCCAGUGGAAA